This 249-nucleotide long non-coding RNA is filed under the name Homo sapiens (human). RNAcentral's name for it is "HSALNT0072649". Lineage: Eukaryota; Metazoa; Chordata; Mammalia; Primates; Hominidae. The record is from RNAcentral.
UGGGGAUAAGAAGGGGACGAGGGGAACUAGGUUUUCAGAAAUGCCAAGAAAUUCCUGGAAGUCAAGAGCAACUCUCCAGAAAUGGACAAGAGAGAAAGGGUAAGGAAGGAGGUACAGUGAUCACCAAAGAAAAAAGAGUAAGAAACUAAGGAAUGCAAGACCAAGGGACUCUGAUAUUUGGUGGAUUCUCUAGUCCUUUUUUAACAGGGAGAAGAGGAGGAAUAAAUUGGAGGAGGGAUUAAUUAUCUG